This 372-nucleotide ribosomal RNA is filed under the name uncultured organism. RNAcentral describes it as "partial 16S ribosomal RNA". It matches the Rfam family "Bacterial small subunit ribosomal RNA", at positions 527 to 896 of the family's 1533-position model. The record is from RNAcentral.
GUAGGUGGCAAGCGUUGUCCGGAAUUAUUGGGCGUAAAGCGCGCGCAGGCGGUUCUUUAAGUCUGAUGUGAAAGCCCACGGCUCAACCGUGGAGGGUCAUUGGAAACUGGAGAACUUGAGUACAGAAGAGGAAAGCGGAAUUCCACGUGUAGCGGUGAAAUGCGUAGAGAUGUGGAGGAACACCAGUGGCGAAGGCGACUUUCUGGUCUGUAACUGACGCUGAGGCGCGAAAGCGUGGGGAGCAAACAGGAUUAGAUACCCUGGUAGUCCACGCCGUAAACGAUGAGUGCUAAGUGUUAGGGGGUUUCCGCCCCCCUUAGUGCUGCAGCUAACGCAUUAAGCACUCCGCCUGGGAGUACGGCCGCAAGGCUG